Molecule: long non-coding RNA, 260 nt
Filed under: Salvia miltiorrhiza (redroot sage)
Lineage: Eukaryota; Viridiplantae; Streptophyta; Magnoliopsida; Lamiales; Lamiaceae
Description: long non-coding RNA (SMIL_LNC013540)
Source: RNAcentral
UUAGGCAUAUACACAAACUCGCCAGAAUUAAGUAAAACCUUAGAGCAUCUGCAAGGCUCUCUUUUGCAUGCCGGACUGAGCCAGUAUGCCGUCUAUACGUCGCGCUGUGAAGGCGGGGGGUUCGUGUUGGGUGCCAAGGAUGGUGCCGGACAUGGAGGUGAAGAAAGGCGUUCACGUCCAUGCACGCACAGAAUUUAGAAAAAAAAAAAAAAAGAAAAAAAAAAAGAGAGAAUUGCUAUGGAGGUUUGGAACAGAUGUAG